Molecule: long non-coding RNA, 1202 nt
Filed under: Rhinopithecus bieti (black snub-nosed monkey)
Lineage: Eukaryota; Metazoa; Chordata; Mammalia; Primates; Cercopithecidae
Description: lncRNA (ENSRBIG00000045562.1)
Source: RNAcentral
CGGGGAGGCUGCAGGGCUGGCGAGAGGGCAGAUGGAGGGAAGCUGCUUUUAUGGUAUUUCUGCUGAAAGGCACAGGUGCGGUGGAGGAAGCAGGCUAAGGAUUGGUUCGUGUGAAUGUCUUCAGUGAGCUCCAGUUAUCUGGUACCUGGCCUGGGUGAUUAGGGUAGAUAGACAGAGGCCCAGAAGGUGAGAGCCUGAUUCCUGGAGUGGUCAGUGGGGUGGGUGGGCUCAGGGCUGGUUGCUUUGGGAAGCGUGCAUGUGGGCCAGUUGGUUACUGUCUCAAGGAGUGGGCUAGGCCUGGGUGUGGCAGUCCUUCUAGGGUCAGCAAGGCACCAAAUAUCAAAGCACUAGAAUACACAAAGUAAAAGACUGCGUUAAUACAGGGUAGUUUACAAAGAAACGGGAAAUUGUUGGCUCGGAGCUGGGUGGAGAUUGAAAUGGUGUUCCCUGGAGAUCCAUUUAAAGUCUCUGUAAAUAUGCGUUAGUGUGUAACUGCUCCUUGUCUCUAAGCUCAGCCAGCCUCUCCCAUGCCAGCUGAGGGGCCUCCCCACCUUCCUUUUCCUCUCUGGGUGUCCCUCCAUUAUGAUUUGGGGACCAAGGCUGGCUGUAGCAGUGUGUCUCCGUGGGCUAGGGCGGUUGGCAAAGGCAAUUGCUUCGGUAGUGCUGGAUAAAGUGGGAUGACGUGGUGACCACACGGAAUGUCAUUUCCGAUGAAAGCUGGCGUGCCAGCCCGUGACAGGACGUGGAGGAGCGUGGAUUCCCCUUCCUGGUUGACUUCAGCCAAGGCCAUCAUCCCAGCUGUCAAAGCCUGCCCUGAUUGCCUGUCCUGGGGGAGAAGAGUGUUUUGAAGAUGACAAGUCAAAGUCAGGUCCUGCAUGGAGUCUGCGUGCCUGACAGCCCGGCUGGCACAGGAGGACAUGCAGCCUGGUGGGACUGAAUCGACCUUCAGAUCUCAGCGAUGAGUCCUCUAGACUGCAGGUUCCACAGCAGUUGCAGCUCCCAUGGCUUUAGAUUGGAGCUGCCUGUGACAUGCAGAGAUGGAAGCACAGCGUCAGCUGUGGUGAACGGCAGCCUCUUUCAGCCCCCAGUGUCUCUCAUGGAAACCCAAGGUGGGAGAAAGAAGCAGAAAGAAAUCCUGGAACCAAAAAGCACUUCAGCAAUGAAGACUGGAUUUUCUCUGAUUAUGAACAGCAAAAUAAAAU